RNAcentral lists this ribosomal RNA (253 nucleotides) under uncultured bacterium. Its description in RNAcentral is "partial 16S ribosomal RNA". It matches the Rfam family "Archaeal small subunit ribosomal RNA", at positions 474 to 727 of the family's 1478-position model. The record is from RNAcentral.
UACCAGCACCCCGAGUGGUCGGGACGUUUAUUGGGCCUAAAGCAUCCGUAGCCGGUUCUACAAGUCUUCCGUUAAAUCCAUCUGCUUAACAGAUGGGCUGCGGAAGAUACUAUAGAGCUAGGAGGCGGGAGAGGCAAGCGGUACUCGAUGGGUAGGGGUAAAAUCCGUUGAUCCAUUGAAGACCACCAGUGGCGAAGGCGGCUUGCCAGAACGCGCUCGACGGUGAGGGGUGAAAGCUGGGGGAGCAAACCGG